RNAcentral lists this ribosomal RNA (2930 nucleotides) under Klebsiella variicola. RNAcentral describes it as "23S ribosomal RNA". It matches the Rfam family "Bacterial large subunit ribosomal RNA". Lineage: Bacteria; Pseudomonadati; Pseudomonadota; Gammaproteobacteria; Enterobacterales; Enterobacteriaceae. The record is from RNAcentral.
GGGUUGUGAGGUUAAGCGACUAAGCGUACACGGUGGAUGCCCUGGCAGUCAGAGGCGAUGAAGGACGUGCUAAUCUGCGAAAAGCGUCGGUAAGGUGAUAUGAACCGUUAUAACCGGCGAUGUCCGAAUGGGGAAACCCAGUGCAAUUCGUUGCACUAUCGUUAACUGAAUACAUAGGUUAACGAGGCGAACCGGGGGAACUGAAACAUCUAAGUACCCCGAGGAAAAGAAAUCAACCGAGAUUCCCCCAGUAGCGGCGAGCGAACGGGGAGCAGCCCAGAGUCUGAAUCAGCUUGUGUGUUAGUGGAACGGUCUGGAAAGUCCGACGGUACAGGGUGAUAGUCCCGUACACCAAAAUGCACAGGCUGUGAACUCGAAGAGUAGGGCGGGACACGUGGUAUCCUGUCUGAAUAUGGGGGGACCAUCCUCCAAGGCUAAAUACUCCUGACUGACCGAUAGUGAACCAGUACCGUGAGGGAAAGGCGAAAAGAACCCCGGCGAGGGGAGUGAAAAAGAACCUGAAACCGUGUACGUACAAGCAGUGGGAGCACCUUCGGGUGUGACUGCGUACCUUUUGUAUAAUGGGUCAGCGACUUAUAUUCUGUAGCAAGGUUAACCGUAUAGGGGAGCCGCAGGGAAACCGAGUCUUAACUGGGCGUUAAGUUGCAGGGUAUAGACCCGAAACCCGGUGAUCUAGCCAUGGGCAGGUUGAAGGUUGGGUAACACUAACUGGAGGACCGAACCGACUAAUGUUGAAAAAUUAGCGGAUGACUUGUGGCUGGGGGUGAAAGGCCAAUCAAACCGGGAGAUAGCUGGUUCUCCCCGAAAGCUAUUUAGGUAGCGCCUCGUGAAUUCAUCUUCGGGGGUAGAGCACUGUUUCGGCUAGGGGGUCAUCCCGACUUACCAACCCGAUGCAAACUACGAAUACCGAAGAAUGUUAUCACGGGAGACACACGGCGGGUGCUAACGUCCGUCGUGAAGAGGGAAACAACCCAGACCGCCAGCUAAGGUCCCAAAGUCAUGGUUAAGUGGGAAACGAUGUGGGAAGGCACAGACAGCCAGGAUGUUGGCUUAGAAGCAGCCAUCAUUUAAAGAAAGCGUAAUAGCUCACUGGUCGAGUCGGCCUGCGCGGAAGAUGUAACGGGGCUAAACCAUGCACCGAAGCUGCGGCAGCGACACUAUGUGUUGUUGGGUAGGGGAGCGUUCUGUAAGCCUGCGAAGGUGGCCUGUGAGGGCUGCUGGAGGUAUCAGAAGUGCGAAUGCUGACAUAAGUAACGAUAAAGCGGGUGAAAAGCCCGCUCGCCGGAAGACCAAGGGUUCCUGUCCAACGUUAAUCGGGGCAGGGUGAGUCGACCCCUAAGGCGAGGCCGAAAGGCGUAGUCGAUGGGAAACAGGUUAAUAUUCCUGUACUUGGUGUUACUGCGAAGGGGGGACGGAGAAGGCUAUGUUAGCCGGGCGACGGUUGUCCCGGUUUAAGCAUGUAGGCGGAGGUUCCAGGUAAAUCCGGUACCUUUUAACGCUGAGGUGUGAUGACGAGGCACUACGGUGCUGAAGUAACAAAUGCCCUGCUUCCAGGAAAAGCCUCUAAGCAUCAGGUAACAUUAAAUCGUACCCCAAACCGACACAGGUGGUCAGGUAGAGAAUACCAAGGCGCUUGAGAGAACUCGGGUGAAGGAACUAGGCAAAAUGGUGCCGUAACUUCGGGAGAAGGCACGCUGGUGUGUAGGUGAAGUCCCUGCGGAUGGAGCUGAGACCAGUCGAAGAUACCAGCUGGCUGCAACUGUUUAUUAAAAACACAGCACUGUGCAAACACGAAAGUGGACGUAUACGGUGUGACGCCUGCCCGGUGCCGGAAGGUUAAUUGAUGGGGUUAUCCGUAAGGAGAAGCUCUUGAUCGAAGCCCCGGUAAACGGCGGCCGUAACUAUAACGGUCCUAAGGUAGCGAAAUUCCUUGUCGGGUAAGUUCCGACCUGCACGAAUGGCGUAAUGAUGGCCAGGCUGUCUCCACCCGAGACUCAGUGAAAUUGAACUCGCUGUGAAGAUGCAGUGUACCCGCGGCAAGACGGAAAGACCCCGUGAACCUUUACUAUAGCUUGACACUGAACAUUGAGCCUUGAUGUGUAGGAUAGGUGGGAGGCUUUGAAGCGUGGACGCCAGUCUGCGUGGAGCCAACCUUGAAAUACCACCCUUUAAUGUUUGAUGUUCUAACGUUGGCCCGUAAUCCGGGUUGCGGACAGUGUCUGGUGGGUAGUUUGACUGGGGCGGUCUCCUCCCAAAGAGUAACGGAGGAGCACGAAGGUUAGCUAAUCCUGGUCGGACAUCAGGAGGUUAGUGCAAUGGCAUAAGCUAGCUUGACUGCGAGCGUGACGGCGCGAGCAGGUGCGAAAGCAGGUCAUAGUGAUCCGGUGGUUCUGAAUGGAAGGGCCAUCGCUCAACGGAUAAAAGGUACUCCGGGGAUAACAGGCUGAUACCGCCCAAGAGUUCAUAUCGACGGCGGUGUUUGGCACCUCGAUGUCGGCUCAUCACAUCCUGGGGCUGAAGUAGGUCCCAAGGGUAUGGCUGUUCGCCAUUUAAAGUGGUACGCGAGCUGGGUUUAGAACGUCGUGAGACAGUUCGGUCCCUAUCUGCCGUGGGCGCUGGAGAAUUGAGGGGGGCUGCUCCUAGUACGAGAGGACCGGAGUGGACGCAUCACUGGUGUUCGGGUUGUCAUGCCAAUGGCACUGCCCGGUAGCUAAAUGCGGAAGAGAUAAGUGCUGAAAGCAUCUAAGCACGAAACUUGCCCCGAGAUGAGUUCUCCCUGAGACUUUAAGUCUCCUGAAGGAACGUUGAAGACGACGACGUUGAUAGGCCGGGUGUGUAAGCGCAGCGAUGCGUUGAGCUAACCGGUACUAAUGAACCGUGAGGCUUAACCUUACAACGCCGAAGCUGUU